GCAAAAAUUCUUCAUCACUAACAUCCACAUCUGCGUGCUCGUCUGUUGAAGCAGCUUCUCGAAACUGAACUCUCGGAAUACCUGUAUUGCUCAGAGCUGCCUUGAUUGCAGCACCUAGAGCAUCCAGCAGAUUUCCGUCCGAGCUAAUGACAAGGCAGUCGACAUACAGAUCCCAGCAUACUUUUCCCUCUUUGAUCAAGAGAGACGCCGGAUCAAUUCCAG
Molecule: unclassified non-coding RNA, 222 nt
Filed under: Hevea brasiliensis (rubber tree)
Lineage: Eukaryota; Viridiplantae; Streptophyta; Magnoliopsida; Malpighiales; Euphorbiaceae
Source: RNAcentral